RNAcentral lists this long non-coding RNA (4897 nucleotides) under Daphnia magna. Its description in RNAcentral is "uncharacterized LOC116929033, transcript variant X1". Lineage: Eukaryota; Metazoa; Arthropoda; Branchiopoda; Diplostraca; Daphniidae. The record is from RNAcentral.
AGGAAAAGUUACCUUUUGAUGGAUUGUCUCUAAUAAUAAGCUUUUGAUUUCCGGCAUAAUUUCACCCUGUGGAACGCUGGGAAAAUACCAAUUGAUGAAAACGAACCGGCAUUUCAAGUCUAGUUACAAACCAGAUUGUCCACUUUAACUGGCUUUGGAGUCUUACAAACCUGACGACUGCGUCCUUUUAACGCAACGGAUAGUACAUCGAGGCAAUGACGUUUCCUUUUAACGCAACGGAUAGUACAUCGAGGCAAUGACGUUGUUGGAGUAUUAAAAGAUUGAUCCUUCUUCAAACGACAAAAGAUAGCCUACGAGAAAAUACAAACACGUCUGUUGUUUUCUUAUUUGGCUGACGGUGAUGGACUUCAGCUCAUCCACCUUUACACGACAUCAAAGGAACAGUUCAAUGUCAUGACAUCAAUAGCGAUUCUUAUUGACUUUUCUUGUUGCCAUGUGGAAUCUUCAACAACAAACAAAGGAAAAACUUGGCCAGAAAAGCCAUUUGGAAAAGAAAGAAAGGAGUUGUUUCAUCGGAUAGUUUUACAAGAAUGGCGUGCACUUCAGUUGGAAGUAUAGAAAUUGAUAAAAUAAUCCUUUUAUUUAAAUUUUCUAUUUUUCUUACAUGCGUGUUCUAUUUGCGUGAGGACGUGAGAUAACAUCCUUGACUGGGUAGUUCUCAUGGAGUUUUAGUCGGUUUUUCCCAAACAGCCGAUAUCGCUAGUAAAACCGCGAUAGACUAAAAAACAUGUGUGUUCCAUACUAGACGAAAAGGGGAUAGCAAGUUAUGUUCCUUAUACGGUAGCAAAACAAUGCUCACCUUGACAAAAUAGGGCUAACCUUGAAGAACACAACAACAGACGAGCGUAACUACAAUUUCUUGGAACUCAUUCUAAAUGCCAUUGUGAAACAGCGUGCAGUUCUACAACCACUAAAUUUGUACGUCGUAGCGGAUAACAAAUUAGCUGGAGAAAUAUACUUAAACGCACAUGGACUACGAUUGAAGGUCAUCGGUCGUGACUGCCUGAAGAAAAACGUGAGUAGGAAACCAAUUGGAUGCAGUUCAACAUGUUUCGAGAUAGGAAAGGUCAACUACCGGAGCUUUGGCAGUUUAUAGCCGCUAAAAUAAUGAUAUUGGACUAUCGCCAGAUUAUCUAGAAACGCUUUUUCACGCAAUUUGGCUAACCUUAAGCUUAACAUCAUUGUUACGGCUCGUGUUUACAGGGUCGUAAGCUAUAGAAUGAUAAUACUCAUUUUGCCUAUUCUGCAGUAGAGAAACACGCAUCGGUUGAAAAAGUCGUAUUAUUGCAAUCAGUGAAACGUUUCACGUUCGUAAAGUGCAGGACUCACAAGUAUUUUUUUUUUCUCAUUUUAUGAAUAUCUGAAUAUUAUGUUUACGCGUGUUAAGAUAUAACUUAGGCCACCAUUAGCAGUAAAAAAACAUAUUUAAGUUGCUUUUUCAGGCAAAUGUAUUUUGAUAAAGAAACACACAGGCAUACAUCUAAAAAAAAAAAAAAAAACAGAUAUGUCAAACAAUAACAAUGUUGGAAAAAUAACAGUGCCAGCUUCAGCCAAGUUUAUUUUCCGACACUGCUUCCGCUUCCUUGACCAGUGGCUCCAGCUUGACCACUGAAGAGGUUGAGGUUGGCGGUUCCAGUGCCGGAACCAGUACCGACUCCGCCAUUCUGUGCGCUUGAGAUGCCGACCUAAUCAAAAGUUUUACUUCAAUGUAAAAAUGUCGCCACGUAAAUAAGGUAUAGUCUUUAUGAUUUCUUACGCCUGAUGCAGAUACUCCUCCAGGUCCAGCAUUACCCGUUCCAGCUCCAGCGCCACUUCCAGUACCACCUAUUAAACAAUUUGACAUUUGGUUGUUAAAUUUGGAAGUAGAGAAGAAGACGGUGAUAAACUUACCGAAUGCGGGGAAUCCGAAACCUGGUUGGCCGAAAGGACGGUUUCCAAAUUGAGGUCUAGCAGCGGCAACAGCCAAGAGAAGAGCGAGGGCAAGAGUGACCUGAGAAUGAUGAGGAAUUAUUAGCACAUAAUACAACCAAAAUUGUUUCUGGUUUUGUGUUCAACGUUUCAUGAAUUUUCAGGUUUACCUUGUACAUUCUGAAGUGUUAGCUGCUUUAGUGAAUGAAUAGCUAAGAUUGAAAUUCAGCUAUAGUCUGACUUGCCGACUGGGACCGACUUCUUUUUAUACGGUGAGAAAACCAAUGGAUAGCUUAGCUUGCGUGACUAGCGUUCGGAACGCUGGAAGGCAACGUCACCUUGGCUUCAGGGCUCGCGUUUUUUCCCUCAUCACGUGACGACGAGUCCUUGUUCUUUCCAAUUUGUCAAUAACACAUACUAAGACAGGUUCAUCAACUGGAAUUAUGCUUGAUGCCAUAAAGCGAUUGUUGCCUUUUACAUUUUAAAUUUAGAGAAGAACGAUGGCAAUCGUCAGUGCAUUGCCAGAUGAGAUAAUGGAUGAGAAUUAACAGAAUUAACUCCUUUAUUAUUACGGUAUUAUUCGCAGAUUUUACCGAGCGAUACCGAAGGCAGACGAUGUCCAUGGAUGAAAUUAGAAAACAGGCAAAAUGUCUUCUGUCUAGUACUGUCGAUUACCUACAAUGGCUGCCAAACUGCCAUUUUGAUUUUGGAAAAUCACUGCGUCUCUUCGAAAUUAGAGCCACUCAUCCAUAAUGAAUUUAGCCUUUUUGCCAGUGGCUCUUCUCACUUAUAGUCGAUUUUUCAUCAUAAUUGACAUUUCCAACAAGUUUCGUUUACCAGCCACGUUGUCCUGUUAACGUAGGUGGUCAAGAUCAGUUUAGCUUGAUAUUGAAAGUGAAUGGCUGCACGUUUUUGCAUAUGUUUUUGCCAACCAUUUCUUCGUACCAUUGUUAAAGCAAUCGAACGACAGGUCAGUCAGCCUGGAGCUUCAAUGGUCUUUAUCAAUUCAGUUUUAUUUGGUGGUAAGAAAGAUCAUUUUGAUUUGAAAUAAAAGUUUAUUGACAAAUUGAAAAACUUUAACAGGUAAAAAAGAAAAAAAAAAUGGGUGGGGGGCAUCAGAUACAAUUACUAACACAUUUUUUGUGCAUGUUCGGACAAACUGUAGCAACAGUUAGCUUAUUUUCCGACACUACUUCCGCUUCCUUGGCCAGUUGCAGAAGCUUGGCCUGUAAAGGCGUUGAGUGAAGCUGUUCCAGUACCGGUACCUGUAGCGAGCCCUCCGUUUGAAGCACUCGAGAUGCCAACCUAGUGAAAUCGUUGUCAUUAAUCUCAGUUUUUGCCACAUACUCGGAUUAAUAAAAUCUUACGCCUGAUGCGGAUACUCCUCCUGGCCCAGCGUUACCGGUUCCAGCUCCAGCGCCACUUCCAGUACCACCUAUUAAACAAUUUGACAACAUCAUGAAGGGUUUUGGUUGUUAAAUUUGGAAGUAGAGAAGACGACGGUGAUAAUCUUACAUAUGAUUCCGAAACAUAGUUGUUGUUGGCCGAAAGGACGGUUUCCAAAUUGAGGUCUAGCAGCGGCAACAGCCAAGAGAAGAGCGAGGGCAAGAGUGACCUGAGAAUGAUGGGAAAUUAUUAGCACAUAAUACAACCAAAAUUGUUUCUGGUUUUGUGUUCAACGUUUCAUGAAUUUUCAGGUUUACCUUGUACAUUCUGAAGUGUUAGCUGCUUUAGUGAAUGAAUAGCUAAGAUUGAAAUUCAGCUAUAGUCUGACUUGCCGACUGGGACCGACUUCUUUUUAUACAGUGAGAAAACCAAUGGAUAGCUUAGCUUGCGUGACUAGCGUUCGGAACGCUGGAAGGCAACGUCACCUUGGCUUCAGUGCUCGCGUUUUUCCCCUCAUCACGUGACGACGAGUCCUUGUUCUUUCCAAUUUGUCAAUAACACAUACUAAGACAGGUUCAUCAACUGGAAUUAUGCUUGAUGCCAUAAAGCGAUUGUUGCCUUUUACAUUUUAAAUUUAGAGAAGAACGAUGGCAAUCGUCAGUGCAUUGCCAGAUGAGAUAAUGGACGAGAAUAAACAGAAUUAACUCAUUUGUUAUUACGCUGAAGUCAUGCAUUUACCUGAAAAGCUUUCAAGAGCGUCAUUUCUAGCUUUGCUUCAGGUAUUAUUCGCAGAUUUUACCGAGCGAUACCGAAGGCAGACGAUGUCCAUGGAUGAAAUUAGAAAACAGGCAAAAUGUCUUCUGUCUAGUACUGUCGAUUACCUACAAUGGCUGCCAAACUGCCAUUUUGAUUUUGGAAAAUCACUGCGUCUCUUCGAAAUUAGAGCCACUCAUCCAUAAUGAAUUUAGCCUUUUUGCCAGUGGCUCUUCUCACUUACAGUCGAUUUUUCAUCAUAAUUGACAUUUCCAACAAGUUUCGUUUACCAGCCACGUUGUCCUGUUAACGUAGGUGGUCAAGAUCAGUUUAGCUUGAUAUUGAAAGUGAAUGGCUGCACGUUUUUGCAUAUGUUUUUGCCAACCAUUUCUUCGUACCAUUGUUAAAGCAAUCGAACGACAGGUCAGUCAGCCUGCUGGAGCUUCAAUGGUCUUUAUCAAUUCAGAUUUAUUUGGUGGUAAGAAAGAUCAUUUUGAUUUGAAAUAAAAGUUUAUUGAAAAAUUGAAAAACUUUAACAGGUAAAAAAGAAAAAAAAAAUGGUGGGGGGGCAUCAGAUACAAUUACUAACACAUUUUUUGUGCAUGUUUGGACAAACUGUAGCAACAGUUAGCUUAUUUUCCGACACUACUUCCGCUUCCUUGGCCAGUUGCAGAAGCUUGGCCUGUAAAGGCGUUGAGUGAAGCUGUUCCAGUACCGGUACCUGUAGCGAGCCCUCCGUUUGAAGCACUCGAGAUGCCAACCUAGUGAAAUCGUUGUCAUUAAUCUCAGUUUUUGCCACAUACUCGGAUUAAUAAAAUCUUACGCCUGA